Non-coding RNA from Pelobates cultripes (western spadefoot toad), 344 nucleotides. NCBI's taxonomy places the organism in Eukaryota, Metazoa, Chordata, Amphibia, Anura, Pelobatidae. The record is from the annotation of a GenBank genome assembly.
CAGAAGCAAUGGAUUUCUUCAGGGCAGUGAAGCAGGCAAUGGCAUGUGGUGAGAGUGAGAAGGGCUCGCUCUUCAGGGCAUCGUAGAGUGGUUGCAUUAGCUGGGAGGCUUCUGGAAUCCAGGAUCUGCAAUACGUGAUGAGGCCUAAAAAGCCAUGGAGAGACUGAUGAGCUGCAGGUAAUGGUAGAUUCAAGAUGGCUAAGAUCCUUUGUUUGGUGAAGUGACGGGUGCCAUGGGAGAGGCAAUGUCCCAAGAAGACCACAGAGGGCCGGCACCACUGGAGUUUUGAUUUGGAGACAAGCAAGGAAGCAGAGGAGGUCCUCAGAAUCUCGUUCAGCAGUCUG